RNAcentral lists this ribosomal RNA (565 nucleotides) under uncultured bacterium. RNAcentral describes it as "partial 16S ribosomal RNA". It matches the Rfam family "Bacterial small subunit ribosomal RNA", at positions 355 to 1376 of the family's 1533-position model. The record is from RNAcentral.
UGGGGAAUAUUGGACAAUGGGCGCAAGCCCUGAUCCAGCCAUGCCGCGUGAGUGAUGAAGGCCCUAGGGUUGUAAAGCUCUUUCACCGGUGAAGAUAAUGACGGUAACCGGAGAAGAAGCCCCGGCUAACUUCGUGCCAGCAGCCGCGGUAAUACGAAGGGGGCUAGCGUUGUUCGGAAUUACUGGGCGUAAAGCGCACGUAGGCGGACAUUUAAGUCAGGGGUGAAAUCCCGGGGGCUCAACCCCGGAACUGCCUUUGAUACUGGGUGUCUAGAGUUCGAGAGAGGUGAGUGGAAUUCCGAGUGUAGAGGUGAAAUUCGUAGAUAUUCGGAGGAACACCAGUGGCGAAGGCGGCUCACUGGCUCGAUACUGACGCUGAGGUGCGAAAGCGUGGGGAGCAAAACAGGAUUAGAUACCCUGGUAGUCCACGCCGUAAAACGAUGGAAGCCAGCUGUCGGCAAGUUUACUUGUCGGUGGCGCAGCUAACGCAUUAAGCUUCCCGCCUGGGGAGUACGGUCGCAAGAUUAAAACUCAAAUGAAUUGACGGGGUCAUAGCUGUUUCCUG